UUCAGCUAGCAAAAACGAAGUCAUCUUCUUCCUUAAGUUUCACCAUGUUAAGAAUUUCAAAUGGCCAUAACUCACUCAAUUUUGGUCCGAUUGAUGCGAUUCUUGCGGCCACGGAAAGAGGAAGACGACCUCUACUGAUUGAGACCAGAAAUUUAAGGUUAUUAUAAGCUUGAAUGGAGUAGUUUGAUGGUGACUUUGAGGACUUGAGCCUUUAGCCAUGAAGUGUCCCCAAGAUAAGACUCGACGAAGCGACUAUCGACAAGGCUCGAGGGGAACGGAUCGAGAUGUUUUCGUGUUUAUUUGAAGAAUUUGGAUAGCAAGUGGGAUGGUAUGAUAUGAUUUGAAGAGUUAAGCUUCCAAAGUUUUAAUUCUCGGAAGUCAUUUGCACAAGAAGUAAAAGAAGGUUUUCAUUCUAGCGGUCCGCAGUAGUCUAGAUGUUUUUGUCUAUGUAUUUAUCUAGCGGAUUUUAACUCUGAUAUUUUUAUAAAAUGGGGUCACGUGAUUUUUUUAUAAAUGAAAAAUGAUUUGAUUUGCGAAAAAUUUACACAGGAUUUUAGGCUUGCUACGGGUUUCGGAGCUACCACUCCCAUUCCCUAGCGCCGGUCGCGG
Mercurialis annua (annual mercury) is the source of this 609-nucleotide long non-coding RNA. RefSeq lists it as uncharacterized. The record is from RefSeq and is a predicted model, not a curated record. The transcript is spliced from 4 exons. Lineage: Eukaryota; Viridiplantae; Streptophyta; Magnoliopsida; Malpighiales; Euphorbiaceae.